UACGGAAGGCAGCAGUGGGGAAUAUUGCACAAUGGGCGCAAGCCUGAUGCAGCCAUGCCGCGUGUAUGAAAAAGGCCUUCGGGUUGUAAAGUACUUUUCAGUCGUGAGGAAGGUGUUAAGGUUAAUAACCUUAGCAAUUGACGUUAGCGACAGAAGAAGCACCGGCUAACUCCGUGCCAGCAGCCGCGGUAAUACGGAGGGUGCGAGCGUUGUCCGGAUUUAUUGGGUUUAAAGGGUGCGUAGGCGGCCUUGUAAGUCCGGGGUGAAAGCCCGUUGCUCAACACGGAACUGCCCUGGAUACUGCGAGGCUUGAGUACAGACGAGGUUGGCGGAAUGGACCGAGUAGCGGUGAAAUGCAUAGAUACGGUCCAGAACCCGAUUGCGAAGGCAGCUGACUGGGCUGUACUGACGCUGAGGCACGACAGCGUGGGGAGCGGAACAGGGAUUAGAUACC
Molecule: ribosomal RNA, 454 nt
Filed under: uncultured bacterium
Lineage: Bacteria
Description: bacterial SSU rRNA
Rfam family: Bacterial small subunit ribosomal RNA
Source: RNAcentral